This 162-nucleotide unclassified non-coding RNA is filed under the name soil metagenome. RNAcentral's name for it is "partial internal transcribed spacer 1". The record is from RNAcentral.
CAGAGUUACAAAACUCCCAAACCCUUGUGAACCUACCUGUACGUCGUUGCUUCGGCGGGUAGCCCCACACCGGGGCCGUGCCUCCUAGCGAGGUGCCCGCCGGAGGACCACUUUAAAACUCUUGCAAUUUGUGGCCUCUCUGAGUAUUAUAUAAAUAAGUCA